AGAAAGAAGUUAAAUGUCUAUUGGCCAGGGGACUUUAGCCAGUAUUAACCACAAACAAUAACACAUCUACAUGCAGUGGGGGCUUUAACAUGUCACAUGACCUUGAUCUUGGUGUGUGUGUGUGUGUGUGUGUGUGUGUAAACGUGGCCGCAGCAUGUUAAAUAGAUGCAUUCUGACAGGAAAUCGAGGAAGACAUGCUGACUGUCAACACUUGACUUUUAACAUAACAAAAUAAGGUCAUAAUUAUCUGUUGAAGCCAUUCAUUGUGCUUAUAUCAGGAACAACUCCACUCCAUCACAAAUCUACUCUAAACAUAAGAGCAGCUAUCCAUUAGGUAUCCUUUUCUGUUCACUUGGGGGGGGGGGGGUGAGUAGUGGGUUGCACUUCACAGCUUAAGCGAAACCGAGCAACUGUUGACUCAGACAGAGUAGGCUAGAGAUGUAAGACAACGAAGAUAAACCAGUUUCCUGUCUCUCUGGUGGUUGGAGCUCACUUCCUGUGCCUCUUCUGCUUCACUCGUUUCACGUUUCUGUCAUCUGUGAGACUUUUGUUCUCACAGAAAUGGAUUUUGUGAUGACAAAAUCAAUGAAGUAAUCUUUCACUUAUGAAACUGGUUUAUCAGGAAUGUACGGAGAUAUUAUAAAUUAUUAUCCCACCGCAACUGCUGUGGAGGGACAGAACAUCAGCCUGCAGUGCAUUGUGGGAGAGGAGCAAAACUUCACAAUUAUCCAGCUGGAGUGGAUUAAACAGCGAAAGGACAAAGAGAUGACUGAUCAGAAGAUUGCUGUGUUCCAUCCUGGGUUCCCAAUAAAUUAUUUUCAAUCUGGUUUUCUUCUGGAGACAGUGACCAGUUCAAAAACUAGGAAGCUGCAGGGCUCAAUCCUGACUCUGCGUGAAGUUAGAGUGAAGGACAGUGGAAACUAUAUUUGUGAAAUCACUUCUUAUCCCACUGGAUCAAUUAAAAGAAUCACAAAGCUGCAAGUUACAGAGCCUCCAGCAUCAGUGAAGAUGUCAUAUCCAUAUGGAUUCAUAAAAGAGGGGGAUGUUAUGAAAAUAACUUGUUCAGCGAUCCCUCCACCACUCCGUUAUAAACUAAAACGUUCAAAGAACAAGAUAUUUUGGCUGGAAAGCUCAAACGGAGAGUUCACUUUACCACAUGUCACCAGAAAUGACAGCGAUAUGUACAUCUGUUUACCUGAAUGGGACUCAUUAGUCCCAAAUCUGCAAGGCCUCAAUGCCACCGUCGAAGUGACUGUCAAUUUUCUUGAUGGCAUUGAGUGUAACACAAGCAGCUCUUUAAACGUCAGCGCUGGUGAAGAUGUGGUCAUUUCUUGUAUCGCAAAAGCUUCACAGUACUUGCAGUAUAAGUGGAUGAGGGGUGACACAACACUGUCUCUCUCAGACACUUUGUCUCUGACCUCCAUGACAUCUGAGCAGUCAGGAACUUACAAACUGACAGCUGUCUUUCUGGACAAUCAACUCCAGACAGACAUUGAGAUUUCUAUCCAGGUUCUCCCAAAGCAAAAUGAAGAAUGGAUGUGUCUCCUCCAUUGAAACCUCCCCCACCACCAGUGAAAUACACGUCAUUGAAAAACCAUGAUGUCCCUAUGACUGAUAUUCUAGUGUGAAUGCAUCAUACUCUUGAGAAGCCACAAACUCUGGGCCACAAAUAUGCUGACGAGAAGAUUGUUCCCUAGAGGCCGCACCCAGAAAUGAAAAUUGUUUCAUCAAUAACUCAUCCUCAUGAAGUUUCUUUCAUCUUGUCUUUUUCAUUAAAUUAAAAAAAAUGCGUUCUAUACUAGACUAACUGAGACUUUUCAUGGCACUUGUAUACUGUUGUUGUUCUCUUGUUGACCUGACUGCUUCUAUUGUUCUCAUUUGUAAGUCGCUUUGGAUAAAAGCGUCUGCUAAAUGAUUAAAUGUAAAAUGUAAAUGUAAAUCUACAGAAACACAAAUAAAGAUAUUUUGAAUGAAACCUGAGAGAUUUCUGUCCUUCCAUUUAAAGUCCACACA
Molecule: long non-coding RNA, 2013 nt
Organism: Carassius auratus (goldfish)
Lineage: Eukaryota; Metazoa; Chordata; Actinopteri; Cypriniformes; Cyprinidae
Source: Ensembl